ACUGACCUACGGGGGGCAGCAGUAGGGAAUCUUCCACAAUGGGCGAAAGCCUGAUGGAGCAACGCCGCGUGGGUGAAGAGGGUGUUCGGAUCGUAAAACCCUGUUGUUAGAGAAGAAAGUGCGUGAGAGUAACUGUUCACGUUUCGACGGUAUCUAACCAGAAAGCCACGGCUAACUACGUGCCAGCAGCCGCGGUAAUACGUAGGUGGCGAGCGUUAUCCGGAUUUAUUGGGCGUAAAGGGAACGCAGGCGGUCUUUUAAGUCUGAUGUGAAAGCCUUCGGCUUAACCGGAGUAGUGCCUUGGG
This 305-nucleotide ribosomal RNA is filed under the name uncultured bacterium. Its description in RNAcentral is "bacterial SSU rRNA". It matches the Rfam family "Bacterial small subunit ribosomal RNA", at positions 331 to 630 of the family's 1533-position model. The record is from RNAcentral.